GGAAUAUUGCACAAUGGAGGGAACUCUGAUGCAGCGACGCCGCGUGAGUGAAGAAGUAAUUCGUUAUGUAUAGCUCUCUCAUCAGGUAAGAAAGUGACGGUACCUGAAAAAGAAGCUCCUGCUAAAUACGUGCCAGCAGCCGCGGUAAUACGUAUGGAGCAAGCGUUAUCCGGAUUUACUGGGUGUAAAGGGAGAGUAGGUGGCAGAGCAAGUCCGAAGUGAAAACCCAAAGCUCAACUAUGGGAAUGCUUUAGAAACUGCUCAGCUAGAGUGCAGGAGAGGCAAGUGGAAUUCUUAGUGUAGCGGUGAAAUGCGUAGAUAUUAGGAGGAACACCAGUGGCGAAGGCGGCUUGCUGGACUGUAACUGACACUGAGGCUCGAAAGCGUGGGGAGCAAACA
Molecule: ribosomal RNA, 399 nt
Filed under: uncultured bacterium
Lineage: Bacteria
Description: bacterial SSU rRNA
Rfam family: Bacterial small subunit ribosomal RNA
Source: RNAcentral